This 439-nucleotide long non-coding RNA is filed under the name Sus scrofa (pig). RNAcentral's name for it is "lncRNA (ENSSSCG00070021226.1)". Lineage: Eukaryota; Metazoa; Chordata; Mammalia; Artiodactyla; Suidae. The record is from RNAcentral.
AUGGUGGGUCAUUUGGACACCCUAAUGACUCUCCGUCCUCUUGGGCUUCCCAGCAGACUCCCAGGGCUGAAUGUCUUGGCACCUGGACCUCAGCUCUGCCACCCAGACUCCUCAGCCAAGCCCUGCUGCGUUCUGACCUCUCCUCCUGUUAACGGACCGUGUAUCAGAGUAUCUGUCAAGGCAGACAUCACUCAAGAGCACCGAGAACAUGGUUCUUCUCAGCAGAGUGCUCUCGACAGCCAGCCAGUACUAAUCUAUCCAGGUUUGCCAUGCUGGCGAAGCUGUUGCGUGGAAAACAAAUCCUCGAGGUGCAUCUGAGAGAAUCAAGGCCCAAGAAGGUGAACUUGCCCAAGACGUGGCAGGUGAGUGCAUCUGUGAACCUACAGCCAGCUUUGGGGAGGUGUUGGGGGUGCCUUCUCAUGUUUGGAACAUAUUGAAG